CAAAUAAUAAUUUAAUAUGAAUUAUAUUAAUUAUUAAUUUUUGUUAACUGUGUAGAAUUAGAACUUAGAAUAUUUUAAUUAUUAAAUUGUUCUAAGAAUUCUAAUUAAACUCCUACCCUUUUCCCUAUAAAUUCCACCAACCUUCUCAAUCAUUCAUCACACAUCAAAUCAACCUUCAUUCACCCAUUCUACCAUCAAUCCCAGCAUCCAAAAACCACCAAUAAUAGCACAACCCAGCAGCCUUAUUCAGCCAGCAACUCACCCCG
RNAcentral lists this long non-coding RNA (266 nucleotides) under Gossypium barbadense (sea-island cotton). RNAcentral's name for it is "long non-coding RNA (GBAR_LNC000506)". Lineage: Eukaryota; Viridiplantae; Streptophyta; Magnoliopsida; Malvales; Malvaceae. The record is from RNAcentral.